UAAUACAUGCAAGUCGAACGCUUCUUUCCUCCCGAGUGCUUGCACUCAAUUGGAAAGAGGAGUGGCGGACGGGUGAGUAACACGUGGGUAACCUACCCAUCAGAGGGGGAUAACACUUGGAAACAGGUGCUAAUACCGCAUAACAGUUUAUGCCGCAUGGCAUAAGAGUGAAAGGCGCUUUCGGGUGUCGCUGAUGGAUGGACCCGCGGUGCAUUAGCUAGUUGGUGAGGUAACGGCUCACCAAGGCCACGAUGCAUAGCCGACCUGAGAGGGUGAUCGGCCACACUGGGACUGAGACACGGCCCAGACUCCUACGGGAGGCAGCAGUAGGGAAUCUUCGGCAAUGGACGAAAGUCUGACCGAGCAACGCCGCGUGAGUGAAGAAGGUUUUCGGAUCGUAAAACUCUGUUGUUAGAGAAGAACAAGGACGUUAGUAACUGAACGUCCCCUGACGGUAUCUAACCAGAAAGCCACGGCUAACUACGUGCCAGCAGCCGCGGUAAUACGUAGGUGGCAAGCGUUGUCCGGAUUUAUUGGGCGUAAAGCGAGCGCAGGCGGUUUCUUAAGUCUGAUGUGAAAGCCCCCGGCUCAACCGGGGAGGGUCAUUGGAAACUGGGAGACUUGAGUGCAGAAGAGGAGAGUGGAAUUCCAUGUGUAGCGGUGAAAUGCGUAGAUAUAUGGAGGAACACCAGUGGCGAAGGCGGCUCUCUGGUCUGUAACUGACGCUGAGGCUCGAAA
This 738-nucleotide ribosomal RNA is filed under the name Enterococcus faecalis. RNAcentral's name for it is "bacterial SSU rRNA". It matches the Rfam family "Bacterial small subunit ribosomal RNA", at positions 49 to 758 of the family's 1533-position model. The record is from RNAcentral. Lineage: Bacteria; Bacillati; Bacillota; Bacilli; Lactobacillales; Enterococcaceae.